Molecule: non-coding RNA, 27 nt
Filed under: Homo sapiens (human)
Lineage: Eukaryota; Metazoa; Chordata; Mammalia; Primates; Hominidae
Source: RNAcentral
UAAUGGAAAUACGGAAACACUGUUGCC